GGCCCGCGGCCUAUCAGCUUGUUGGUGGGGUGACGGCCUACCAAGGCGACGACGGGUAGCCGGCCUGAGAGGGCGACCGGCCACACUGGGACUGAGACACGGCCCAGACUCCUACGGGAGGCAGCAGUGGGGAAUAUUGGACAAUGGGCGCAAGCCUGAUCCAGCCAUGCCGCGUGGGUGAUGAAGGCCCUAGGGUUGUAAAGCCCUUUCAGCGGGGAAGAUAAUGACGGUACCCGCAGAAGAAGCCCCGGCUAACUUCGUGCCAGCAGCCGCGGUAAUACGAAGGGGGCUAGCGUUGCUCGGAAUUACUGGGCGUAAAGCGCACGUAGGCGGCUUCUUAAGUCGGUGGUGAAAUCCUGGAGCUCAACUCCAGAACUGCCUUCGAUACUGGGAAGCUCGAGUCCGGGAGAGGUGAGUGGAACUGCGAGUGUAGAGGUGAAAUUCGUAGAUAUUCGCAAGAACACCAGUGGCGAAAGCGGCUCACUGGCCCGGUACUGACGCUGAGGUGCGAAAGCGUGGGGAGCAAACAGGGUUAGAUACCCUGGUAGUCCACGCUGUAAACGAUGGAUGCUAGCCGUUGGCGAGCUUGCUCGUCAGUGGCGCAGCUAACGCUUUAAGCAUCCCGCCUGGGGAGUACGUCGCAGAUAAACUCAA
This 654-nucleotide ribosomal RNA is filed under the name uncultured bacterium. Its description in RNAcentral is "bacterial SSU rRNA". It matches the Rfam family "Bacterial small subunit ribosomal RNA", at positions 228 to 904 of the family's 1533-position model. The record is from RNAcentral.